Molecule: ribosomal RNA, 465 nt
Filed under: uncultured bacterium
Lineage: Bacteria
Description: partial 16S ribosomal RNA
Rfam family: Bacterial small subunit ribosomal RNA
Source: RNAcentral
CCUACGGGUGGCUGCAGUGGGGAAUAUUGCGCAAUGGGCGAAAGCCUGACGCAGCGACGCCGCGUGAGGGAUGAAGGUCUUCGGAUCGUAAACCUCUGUCAGCAGGGAAGAACGGUCACUGUGCUAAUCAGCAGUGAAUUGACGGUACCUGCAAAGGAAGCACCGGCUAACUCCGUGCCAGCAGCCGCGGUAAUACGGAGGGUGCGAGCGUUAAUCGGAAUUACUGGGCGUAAAGCGCUCGUAGGCGGUAUGUCAAGUCAAGGGUGAAAUCCCCGCGCUCAACGUGGGAACUGCCUUGGAAACUGGCAAACUGGAGUGUGUGAGAGGAUAGUGGAAUUCCAGGUGUAGGGGUGAAAUGCGUAGAUAUCUGGAGGAACAUCAGUGGCGAAGGCGACUAUCUGGCACAUAACUGACGCUGAGGAGCGAAAGCGUGGGUAGCAAACAGGAUUAGAUACCCUAGUAGUC